This 1524-nucleotide unclassified non-coding RNA is filed under the name Hevea brasiliensis (rubber tree). Lineage: Eukaryota; Viridiplantae; Streptophyta; Magnoliopsida; Malpighiales; Euphorbiaceae. The record is from RNAcentral.
AAAAAAAUGAUGGCUUUGAGAUUCUCUCUUUUCAUCUUCAUCAUUUCUCUAUACUUUAUCAGUGAUUUUCCAGGAAUAUUUGGUCAUGAUGAAGACAUGACAAUUAAAACCAUGGAGGAAUUUUCUGGGUACCAAAUUCAUGAACCUAAAUAUCCCAAUUCUUUAUCUGUCAACUCUGAUACUCUACAGAAACAGAUAGAUGAGCUAGCAACUUUCUCAGAUUCACCUGCCCCUUCCGUCACUAGGAUCCUAUACAGUGAGAAGGAUGUAUUAGCAAGGAGUUAUAUUAAAGAUUUGAUGGAACUUUCUGGUCUCUCUGUUAAGGAGGAUGCUGUCGGGAACAUUUUUGGUCGGUGGAAUGGAUAUGAACCUGAGCUCGCCCCCGUUUUAACUGGCUCUCACGUUGAUGCUAUACCAUACUCCGGAAAAUAUGAUGGCGUGGUUGGUGUUUUGGGUGCAAUAGAGUCCAUUAAUGUGCUAAAGCGGUCGGGUUUCAAGCCUAAGAGGUCACUAGAAGUGAUUAUGUUCACUUCAGAAGAGCCCACGAGGUUUGGGAUAAGCUGUCUGGGAAGCCGUUUGCUGGCAGGAAGUGUACAACUUGCUGAACUUCUAAAGAGGACUGUUGACAACCAGAAUAUUUCCUUUUCUGAUGCUGCCAAAUCUGCUGGUUAUGCAAAUGCUAAGGGUGAUUUAUCUGAAAUCUUUCUCAAUAAAGGAAGCUAUUUUGCUUUUGUCGAGUUGCAUAUAGAGCAAGGUCCCAUUCUAGAAAAAGAAGGUACUUCCAUUGGUGUUGUGACUGCAAUUGCUGCUCCAGCAAGCAUCAAAGUAACAUUUGAAGGCAAUGGAGGUCAUGCAGGUGCUGCCUUGAUGCCAGACAGAAACGAUGCUGGACUGGCUGCUGCAGAGUUGGCUCUAGCUGUGGAGAAACAUGUACUAGAUUCCGGAUCCAUUGACACUGUUGGAACUGUUGGCAUUCUGAAGCUGCAUCCUGGAGCAAUCAAUAGCAUCCCGAGCAUGGCACACCUUGAAAUAGAUACACGUGACAUUGAUGAAAGCCGUCGAAAUCUUGUAAUUGAGAAAAUCCAUCAGUCAGCUUUGUCCAUUGCUAAAAAACGCAGAGUUAUACUCUCGGAGUUUGAAAUAGUGAAUCAAGAUCCACCAGCCCUUUCAGAUGAGUCAAUCACUAAGGCAACAGAAUUAGCAUGUCAAGAGCUGAAUUUGACUCACAAGAAAAUGAUUAGUCGAGCCUAUCAUGAUUCCUUGUUUAUGGCAAGAGUAUCUCCGAUGGGCAUGAUAUUCAUUCCAUGUUACAAGGGAUAUAGCCAUAAGCCUGAAGAGUUUUCAUCCGUUGAAGAUAUCGCGAACGGGGUGAAAGUUCUUGCAUUAACUCUUGCCAAAUUAUCCCUCUCAUAAUUGCCUUCAUGUAGUUUAACACUUCUUAAUGCUUCAGGGCAUUUUUAUUUUUUUUACUUCUACAUGUUUUCUGAAUAUCCUCCUAUGUCUCUAAUAAUAGUUGGCUUUGUU